GGGGGAGCCUGUGGGGAGGGGCAGCAAAGAGGGAAGCAGCCAGAAGACACAGGGUGAGCGGCAGCAGCUGCAGAAGGAAGAAGCACAUACAUCGAGUCACUGCUGAGGUGGGACCGGGGCCAGAGCCCCACCCCGAGCCAGACUCCCUCCUCUGGUCUAGACUCCUCAACAGAGCAACAGGGCUGAACACCACGCUGCCACCCUUCCCUUCCCCAGAUCCUCGUGCCCCACCACUCCCAGGUCUAGCCUGCACCCACUCUGCUGCCUCCCCAGUCCACUCUCCCUGGCUUCAGCUCCAGGUGUGGUGGACGGCUGUGCAGCACCUUCCUCUAAAAGGUACUCGUCCACGUCACCUCCCUUCUCUAAAACCAUCCUUCAAUAUUUAUUACGUGCCUCCCAUGUGCCGUUCUUACCUUUCCCUGCGAGAGGUUUUAACAACCUCUGUAAUAGAUGAGGAACCCGAAGCUCAGAAAAAGUUUCAGAACUCCAAGUCUACUGUUCUUCCCACCGCACAGUCCUGACUGCACCAGCCUCAGUCACCGCCCCUCACUGCCCCAGCUCUCAGGGGAGCUAGGCCUGCAGAGCUUAGAGACCCUGCCUCAUGCACCCCCGAGGUCCAUCUCUGAGGAGGGAGGCUGCUCAUUAAGGAGGAUGGAUGGAUGACCGAUUCAAACAACUGUCUUGAAAGCCGACCCCAGGGCCCAGCACCCAAGCACUGUUGUCAAGGAGGCUUGGAAUGCCCAGAGCCCACUUCUUUGGUGCUCCUCCAGGCGGGGGCCCAGAGGCAGCAGCACCAGACCCUACACACUCAGAUGGCUCCAACCAUAGGGACAAUUCCAAACCAACGAGAAGACGCCAGGAGAUGAAAGAGUCAUGGAGCACGGGGGAACCGAGCCAAGAGGUGCAGACACAGCAGAGAGACCAAUCUCCAAGCAGAGGCCACCUCAGCUCACACCGGCCGACCCAACCCUCUGCACCACAGGCAGACCCAGCCCCCUUCAGGCCCGCUGACCCUGCGGCUCCUGAGCUGGUGACUCAAUUUCUCUUCUGCCAAGUAGGACUCAGGCACCUUUUCCCAGUGCACCUGCCUCUCGGCUCAGUUCUGAUAUUUCCCGAAGGGCGGGUGGUGGAGCGUGCAGGCUCCGCUCCUGGCUCGGACCCUCCGGACCCGGUAGUCAACCCACUCCGACCCGACCCUCCUCCCUGGACACCCUCUACCCGCCCAUUCCCCGGGGCCGCAGCCUCCAGGGAAGCAGCCCGCUCUGCUGCACUCUCCGGGGCCGGGCGCCCCUCCUGCCUCUAGCCCCCCACGCCCGCCCCCACCCAAGGCUCCUCGCAGGCGCCGGGUCGCGGAGAGGGAAGAGGGACUUGAAGAGGGGGGUUCCGGUUCCGGUCCCACCUGCAUCUCGGUCCCCGCGGUUAGCUCCGGCGGCGGCGGCAGCUCCCGCUCCCUGCCCCACCCCCCGCCUCCGCGACUAGCUCCCAGCCCGGUUCUGCGCAGGCGCCGGGACCCCCUUUUUCCCGUCACCGAAGGAAGUGACCAUAGAGAAGACCGAGGAGAAGGAAGGGCACGUUCACACUCACUUCCGCCAUCCUCCCAUUCCGUGCCACCCUUCCAGAGUUGAGAAGGUGGGAGUCUCGGAGUGCUUAGUGACUUCUCCAGUUGCGCCUAAAAGGGACCGCAGAAGCAGCCAUAGGACGGGGUUGGGUCCCACCAGAGCGUCCUCCCAGAGGAAAGUCGGGACAGUAGGGAGCAGUCAACCAUAGAGAAGGCACCUUAGGGGACUAGAAUCCCGAGACCCUGAUGAAGGCUAGAGGAGCCACCGGUACCGGAAACCAGCGAGUUGAGAAGGCUUUUUGAAGGGCCUGCUGUAGCCUAGAGCGCCCAGCCGGGCUGCAGACGGGUUCGAGGACACCGCCCCCAAAGAGCUGGGGGAGGGAAGAUGCGGGUGACCUUGAUGAGGCCCUGCGAGGAGGCGGAGCCUGAACUUACGACCUUGGCUUCUCUGAGGAAAGUACUGGAGGUUCUAGGAGGUUCCAGCUCUGAACUGGGAAAUAAAGGUUGUGGGGGCAGGAAUAAUGAGGUCAGUUUGGGGCAUGUCUGUGGGACGUCAGGAGGCAGGUGGACAUACAGUCUGGAGCUGAGGAGAGACAUCAAGGCCAGAUACAGAAAUUGAGACUCAUUAAGGUGUAGUAGAGGGCAGUCGAAAUCAUGAGCACGAUGAGAUCCUAAUCGAUCAGGUCUCUCAUUGACCCAGCUCCAACUGGCCUAAGCAAUAAGGGAGUCUUUUGGCUCAAGCCAUUGAAAAGAAUGGAUCAAGCUUCUUCAGGAACAGCUAAAUAAAAGGGCCAAAAGAUAUUGGGAACCUGUGCUUCACCUCUAGGCUGAGCUCUCCCCAUGCCUCUCUUAGUGGCAAAAUGGAUUUCCAUAGCUCCAAACUUAAGUCCCAGUAGCUUAGCAACUCUCGUAGGAGCAUGUCUUUUUCUCUGAGAUUUGCAGUAAAAUUUCCAGAACUGACUUUAGCUGAUUGGCUUGGAUCAUGUGCUUAUCCUGAAACCCAAAGGCCUCGUGACCCACGAGAUUGGAGAUGGAUAAAUGCCCUGACUCACACAAGGAUGUUUGAGGCUGAGGCUACUGGAUGGAGUUGGAAAAAAUCAUUGUGGAAGGGCAAGUUCUGGCCUAACCAGCCUUUGUCCCCAUCUCUACCCCAGAUCUAACCAAAUUAACAUCAGCUCCCAGAUGGCCUUUGUUAAGGUCUUCAUCACCGUCUUUGUCAAUUCCAUCUUCCAGUUCAGAAAAAGAUGUCAAUGGAAAGGCCUCUAGUUCCGUGAUCACCCCCCACUCCUCCCUGAUACUCUUACAUACCCUUUCUCUGUAGUUGGCCCAUCCUUGUCCAGGAGAGAGAAAAGGUGAGGAAUACAGAAAGGUAAGGGGCUGGUGAUGAUGGGUUUGGUUUGGAAAUGUGUCUAAGCUGUCCAAUAAAACUUUCUGCAAUGACUGAAA
Long non-coding RNA from Lagenorhynchus albirostris (white-beaked dolphin), 3004 nucleotides. RefSeq lists it as uncharacterized. The transcript has 2 exons. NCBI's taxonomy places the organism in Eukaryota, Metazoa, Chordata, Mammalia, Artiodactyla, Delphinidae. The record is from RefSeq and is a predicted model, not a curated record.